GGGGAGAUUGCCGAGUGGUUAAAGGCAACAGACUGUAAAUCUGUCCUCUUUUGAGUUCGGGGGUUCGAAUCCCUCUCUCCCCA
Molecule: transfer RNA, 83 nt
Filed under: Spirochaetes bacterium GWD1_27_9
Lineage: Bacteria; Pseudomonadati; Spirochaetota
Description: tRNA-Tyr
Rfam family: tRNA
About the family: Transfer RNA (tRNA) molecules are approximately 80 nucleotides in length. Their secondary structure includes four short double-helical elements and three loops (D, anti-codon, and T loops).
Source: RNAcentral